This 465-nucleotide ribosomal RNA is filed under the name uncultured bacterium. Its description in RNAcentral is "partial 16S ribosomal RNA". It matches the Rfam family "Bacterial small subunit ribosomal RNA", at positions 28 to 507 of the family's 1533-position model. The record is from RNAcentral.
GACGAACGCUGGCGGCGUGCUUAACACAUGCAAGUCGAACGGAAAGGCCCUGCUUGCCGGGUGCUCGAGUGGCGAACGGGUGAGUAACACGUGGGUGAUCUGCCCCUUACUUUGGGAUAAGCCUGGGAAACUGGGUCUAAUACUGGAUAGGACCAUGCUGUAGGUGGUGUGGUGGAAAGAUUUUUUCGGUAAGGGAUGAGCUCGCGGCCUAUCAGCUUGUUGGUGGGGUAAUGGCCUACCAAGGCGUCGACGGGUAGCCGGCCUGAGAGGGUGGACGGCCACAUUGGGACUGAGAUACGGCCCAGACUCCUACGGGAGGCAGCAGUGGGGAAUAUUGCACAAUGGACGAAAGCCUGAUGCAGCAACGCCGCGUGAGGGACGACGGCCUUCGGGUUGUAAACCUCUUUUAGCAGGGAAGAAGCGAAAGUGACGGUACCUGCAGAAAAAGCGCCGGCUAACUACGUG